Molecule: ribosomal RNA, 229 nt
Filed under: uncultured eukaryote
Lineage: Eukaryota
Description: partial small subunit ribosomal RNA
Rfam family: Eukaryotic small subunit ribosomal RNA
Source: RNAcentral
GGAAAACUUACCAGGUCCAGACAUAGUGAGGAUUGACAGAUUGAGAGCUCUUUCUUGAUUCUAUGGGAGGUGGUGCAUGUCCGUUCUUAGUUGGUGGAUUGAUUUGUCUGGUUAAUUCCAUUAACGAACGAGACCCUCGCCUGCUAAAUAGGUCCGUGAAUGAAUUUCAUUGACGAGAUCUUCUUAGAGGGACUUUUGGUGACUAACCAAAGGAAGUUGGGGGCAAUAC